UACAGAGGUCUCAACCGUUGUUCGGAUUUAUUGGGCGUAAAGGGUGUGUAGGCGGUUGCGCAAGUCGGAUGUGAAAUCUCAGGGCUCAACCCUGAAACUGCAUUCGAUACUGCGUGGCUAGAGUGCUGGAGAGGAGACUGGAAUUUACGGUGUAGCAGUGAAAUGCGUAGAUAUCAGGAGGAACAUCAGUGGCGAAGGCGGCUACCUGGCCCAAUACUGACACUCAGGUGCGACAGCGUGGGGAGCAAACAGG
This 253-nucleotide ribosomal RNA is filed under the name uncultured bacterium. Its description in RNAcentral is "partial 16S ribosomal RNA". It matches the Rfam family "Bacterial small subunit ribosomal RNA", at positions 524 to 776 of the family's 1533-position model. The record is from RNAcentral.